RNAcentral lists this long non-coding RNA (709 nucleotides) under Mus caroli (Ryukyu mouse). RNAcentral's name for it is "lncRNA (MGP_CAROLIEiJ_G0034643.1)". Lineage: Eukaryota; Metazoa; Chordata; Mammalia; Rodentia; Muridae. The record is from RNAcentral.
CGUUCAUUUUUUAACAUCGGGCGUGCACACACAUGCCUUCAGAGAAGCUAGGAGAAGGAAGGAGGAAAGGAGAAGGAGUUGAAAGGAGAAGGGGAGUUUGGAUGAAGACGAGGUCGAUUGGCUUGGAGAAGGGUGGGGUCCAGAGCGCUACUUGCCCCGCCACGAGGUUCUGUCCACCCGCCCUGCUGGAGUUCCCAAGAGGUGAUGCUAUACGGGAUGCGCUCGUGCGUAUUGUGACAUUUCUAGAAAAGUCAUCAGUCUUUGCUCUGGUGUCAAAAGUGAAGGUCGAGAGAGAAGCUUCCGCUUCGGUCUCAGGAACCAGCGUGGCGUGAAGGCGCUACUGCUUCGAUUUCCUGUGUCUCCCCAGGGUCGACGGUUGUAUCGCAUUUAAGGGGUUUGUGCACGUGAGUGCAGGUGCCAUUUGAAGCCAGAAGAGGGCGCUGGAUCCUCAGACCUGGAGGAAGUUGUGAGCUACCUGAUGUGGGUGCAGUGCGCACUCUUAGUUUCAGAACCAUUUCUCCAGCCUGCGUGUGAUUUUUAAAGUCAUACACUCUGUUGUUUCGACGCAUUGCGCCUAUAGAUUUGCAUGUGUUGAGCCACCACUGCACCCUCCAACCUCCAACUUGAUAGCCGCGGAUGAUCUUUUUGAUAUGCUGUUGUAUUCAACUCCUUGGUGUUUUGUUAAUAAUGUUUGCAUCUAUAUUCAUCA